Molecule: ribosomal RNA, 253 nt
Filed under: uncultured bacterium
Lineage: Bacteria
Description: partial 16S ribosomal RNA
Rfam family: Bacterial small subunit ribosomal RNA
Source: RNAcentral
UACGGAGGGUGCAAGCGUUAAUCGGAAUUACUGGGCGUAAAGCGCGCGCAGGCGGUCUUGCAAGUCGGAUGUGAAAUCCCCGGGCUCAACCGGGGAACUGCAUUCGAAACUGGGAGACUAGAGUAUUGUAGAGGGGGAUAGAAUUCCGGGUGUAGCGGUGAAAUGCGUAGAGAUCUGGAGGAAUACCGGUGGCGAAGGCGGCCCCCUGGACAAAGACUGACGCUCAGGUGCGAAAGCGUGGGGAGCAAACAGG